RNAcentral lists this microRNA (22 nucleotides) under Drosophila sechellia. Its description in RNAcentral is "dse-miR-978a-3p". Its record names the gene dse-miR-978a-3p. The record is from miRBase by way of RNAcentral. Lineage: Eukaryota; Metazoa; Arthropoda; Insecta; Diptera; Drosophilidae.
UGUCCAGUCCCGUAAAUUGCAG